AACUGAUCUACACAAGGAGGAGGUAAUUAAGUCAUUUCAUUCCAGUGUUUUGUACCUGUGGCACAUCUAAAAACUGUAGGUCUGCGGCCCUCGAGGACUGGAGUUUGAGACCCCUGGCCUAGAGCUUCGGUCGUCAUGAGGAUGACCUACAGCGCCGGAGAGGUUAGUCAUUCUCUACACCUUCUUUGUGGAAUGGUCACCAGAAAAAAAAACUACCCAACAGGCAGCAGGACAGCCGUCGUCCUGCGGCGGGCAAAGCCUUUGUUGUCAUCAGCAAACUCUUCAGCAACAAGCUCAAAACUGCAAAACUCCGGAAGGCACGCUCUAAUCCAGACUCGGUGUGCUUCUCCAAAAAACCUCAUGCGUUUCUUGAGAAAACCUGACCUCCCCUCCCUUUUACUGUAACUCGAAGAAGCAUGGAGCCUGGCUGUUGUCCCUGGGGUUGUGGGAAAUGCCACAUUCCUUAUAUGGGCAUCCCAUGUAUUCCCUCUCUCCAUAUCCCAGAAGCAGGCGUGGCCUUCCCAUCAGCACUGGAAUCAACGAUCAUUUGCAGAACACACCGACCGGGGAGCUUGAGUUUCCCCACUAAUUAAAGUGAAGCAGUCCCUUUUUUUUUUUUAAAGUAAUCGUGGACAGGUGCUUUUAGAUACAUACGGUACAAUCGGAGCGACAGAGUUCAGAAUAACACAGAGAAAUCAGGAGUUAUCGGGAAAAGGCAGGAAAAUAUCUGCACGCUUUAUGCUGUCAGUGACUGUGUGGAGCUGUAUGUGGAAGUGAGAUUAACUUUAUUUGCUCAAGAGAGUGGGAGUCGUUACGAAACAAAUAGACUUUGCACAGUUCGCUUCAAAGACACAGAGAUAAGACAGUUUGAAAGCAAAAUGAGCACAUGCAAGAACAGACACAAGUAAAAAAGAAAAAAAAAAAGAAG
This is a long non-coding RNA of Xiphophorus couchianus (Monterrey platyfish), 928 nucleotides long. RefSeq lists it as uncharacterized. The transcript is spliced from 2 exons. The record is from RefSeq and is a predicted model, not a curated record. NCBI's taxonomy places the organism in Eukaryota, Metazoa, Chordata, Actinopteri, Cyprinodontiformes, Poeciliidae.